RNAcentral lists this transfer RNA (108 nucleotides) under Erysiphe necator (grape powdery mildew). It matches the Rfam family "tRNA". Rfam says of the family: Transfer RNA (tRNA) molecules are approximately 80 nucleotides in length. Their secondary structure includes four short double-helical elements and three loops (D, anti-codon, and T loops). The record is from Rfam by way of RNAcentral. Lineage: Eukaryota; Fungi; Ascomycota; Leotiomycetes; Helotiales; Erysiphaceae.
GUCUUCGUGGCUCAGUUGGUUAGAGCGUUGGUCUCAUACUCAAGUAUGAAUUAGUAGGAAACUAUUAGUGGCAUCCAAAAGUCGCGAGUUCGAGUCUCGCCGAGGACA